AGUGAACGCUGGCGGUAGGCCUAACACAUGCAAGUCGAACGGCCGCACAGUAAGAGCUUGCUCUUACGGGUGGCGAGUGGCGGACGGGUGAGGAAUACAUCGGAAUCUACUUUUUCGUGGGUGAUAACGUAGGGAAACUUACGCUAAUACCGCAUACGACCUACGGGUGAAAGCAGGGGAUCUUCGGACCUUGCGCGAUUGAAUUAGCCGAUUUCGGAUUAGCUAGUUGGCGGGGUAAAGGCCCACCAAGGCGACGAUCCGUAGCUGGUCUGAGAGGAUGAUCAGCCACACUGGAACUGAGGCACGGUCCAGACUCCUACGGGAGGCAGCAGUGGGGAAUAUUGGACAAUGGGCGAAAGCCUGAUCCAGCCAUACCGCGUGGGUGAAGAAGGCCUUCGGGUUGUAAAGCCCUUUUGUUGGGAAAGAAAAGCAGCAGGUUAAUACCCCGAUGUUCUGACGGUACCCAAAGAAUAAGCACCGGCUAACUUCGUG
This 492-nucleotide ribosomal RNA is filed under the name uncultured bacterium. RNAcentral describes it as "partial 16S ribosomal RNA". It matches the Rfam family "Bacterial small subunit ribosomal RNA", at positions 29 to 507 of the family's 1533-position model. The record is from RNAcentral.